GAGUUUGAUCGUGGCUCAGGACGAACGCUGGCGGCGUGCUUAACACAUGCAAGUCGAACGAGAAUCUACUGAAAGAGUUUUCGGACAAUGGAAGUAGAGGAAAGUGGCGGACGGGUGAGUAACGCGUGAGGAACCUGCCUUGAAGAGGGGACAACAGUUGGAAACGACUGCUAAUACCGCAUGAUGCAUAAGGGUCGCAUGAUUCUUAUGCCAAAGAUUUAUCGCUUCAAGAUGGCCUCGCGUCUGAUUAGCUAGUUGGCGGGGUAACGGCCCACCAAGGCGACGAUCAGUAGCCGGACUGAGAGGUUGAACGGCCACAUUGGGACUGAGAUACGGCCCAGACUCCUACGGGAGGCAGCAGUGGGGAAUAUUGGGCAAUGGGCGCAAGCCUGACCCAGCAACGCCGCGUGAAGGAAGAAGGCUUUCGGUAUGUAAACUUCUAUCAGCAGGGAAGAAAAUGACGGUACCUGACUAAGAAGCCCGGCUAACUACGUGCCAGCCGCCGCAGUAAC
This 512-nucleotide ribosomal RNA is filed under the name uncultured microorganism. RNAcentral describes it as "bacterial SSU rRNA". It matches the Rfam family "Bacterial small subunit ribosomal RNA", at positions 9 to 524 of the family's 1533-position model. The record is from RNAcentral.